GGCCUGGUGGUGAAAUGUAUCACACCCACACUGCCCCACAGCACUUCCGAUAGGUUUUGUGGGGGUCCCUGGUUCGAAUCUGGGCCAGGUCA
This is a non-coding RNA of Mycena leptocephala, 92 nucleotides long. The record is from the annotation of a GenBank genome assembly. Lineage: Eukaryota; Fungi; Basidiomycota; Agaricomycetes; Agaricales; Mycenaceae.